Molecule: ribosomal RNA, 207 nt
Filed under: uncultured bacterium
Lineage: Bacteria
Description: partial 16S ribosomal RNA
Rfam family: Bacterial small subunit ribosomal RNA
Source: RNAcentral
AGCGUAGGCGGACGCUUAAGUCAGUUGUGAAAGUUUGCGGCUCAACCGUAAAAUUGCAGUUGAUACUGGGUGUCUUGAGUACAGUAGAGGCAGGCGGAAUUCGUGGUGUAGCGGUGAAAUGCUUAGAUAUCACGAAGAACUCCGAUUGCGAAGGCAGCUUGCUGGACUGUAACUGACGCUGAUGCUCGAAAGUGUGGGUAUCAAACA